Molecule: ribosomal RNA, 301 nt
Filed under: uncultured bacterium
Lineage: Bacteria
Description: partial 16S ribosomal RNA
Rfam family: Bacterial small subunit ribosomal RNA
Source: RNAcentral
CAGCCGCCGCGGGAAAACGUAGGUGGCAAGCGUUGUCCGGAAUUAUUGGGCGUAAAGGGCUCGCAGGCGGUUUCUUAAGUCUGAUGUGAAAACCCCCGGCUCAACCGGGGAGGGUCAUUGGAAACUGGGAAACUUGAGUGCAGAAGAGGAGAGUGGAAUUCCACGUGUAGCGGUGAAAUGCGUAGAGAUGUGGAGGAUCACCAGUGGCGAAGGCGACUCUCUGGUCUGUAACUGACGCUGAGGAGCGAAAGCGUGGGGAGCGAACAGGAUUAGAUACCCGCGUAGUCCCUGUCUCUUAUAC